GGUGUGUCUCUCUCCUCCGCAGAGGCUUUUAAAGAAUAUGAAAUUCGAAGGAAUUGAAAGUUGUCUUCAUACCAGAUACCUUCUAGCGCAAUUCCAAUUCCUUCGAAUUUCACAUUCUUUAAAAGCCUCUGCGGAGGAGAGAGUGGGUGU
Paramuricea clavata is the source of this 150-nucleotide non-coding RNA. The record is from the annotation of a GenBank genome assembly. Lineage: Eukaryota; Metazoa; Cnidaria; Anthozoa; Malacalcyonacea; Plexauridae.